RNAcentral lists this long non-coding RNA (8188 nucleotides) under Lactuca sativa (garden lettuce). Its description in RNAcentral is "long non-coding RNA (LSAT_LNC005022)". The record is from RNAcentral. Lineage: Eukaryota; Viridiplantae; Streptophyta; Magnoliopsida; Asterales; Asteraceae.
GAAGUCGAUGUCGCUUCAGGUACCUUUCUCGUAAACAAAUUGCCUGCCCAAAUUUUGUUUGAUUCUGGGGCCAAUUACUCAUUCAUAUCGCAUGAAUUUGGUAGAAAACUAGCUUUCCCGAUAGAUAGACUAGUUAAUUCUAUAAUAGUCGAGAUUGCUAGUGGAAAGUUUGUACCUGUUAGCCAUCGUAUGAAAAACAUCCUCAUUGACUUGGAUGGGAAUAAGUUCCAAGAGGAAUUAUUGCCUAUCGAGUUAAAUGGAUUCGACAUAGUUUUAGGAAUGGAUUGGCUUAGCGCCAACGAUGCAGAAAUAUUAUGUAGAAAGAAGAUAGUAAAAGUAAACCCGCCAGGGAAAGAGUCGUUUAUGGUGUAUGGAGACAAACGCAGAGUAAAUUCUGGAAUCAUUUCCCUAAUGAAAGCCAGAAAGUGUUUGGCCAAGGGAUGUACAUCAUAUCUAGCGUUCGUGAUCGAUGCUAAGAUGGAAAAGAAGGAGGUGCAGAAUAUUCCGGUGGUGUGUGAUUAUCCGGAAGUCUUUCCCGAAGAUCUUCCCGGAUUGCCCCCUGAUCGACAAGUAGAAUUUCGUAUCGACUUGUUACCAGGAAUGACGCCGAUAGCAAAAGCACCAUAUCGAUUAGCACCAACAGAGAUGAAAGAACUUAUGACACAACUUCAGGAGUUAUUGGACAAAGGUUUCAUUCGACCUAGUUCAUCACCCUGGGGAGCCCCUGUGUUAUUUGUAAAGAAGAAAGACGGAAGCAUGAGAAUGUGCAUCGAUUACAGAGAGCUAAACAAAGUGACGAUAAAGAACAAGUACCCGUUGCCGAGGAUCGAUGACCUGUUCGACCAGUUACAAGGUUCGAGCUAUUUCUCGAAGAUCGAUCUUAGGUCGGGAUACCAUCAACUAAAGGUGAGAGAGUAGGAUAUCGAAAAGACUGCGUUUAGAACAAGAUAUGGACACUAUGAAUUUCUGGUUAUGUCGUUCGGACUAACCAAUGCCCCAGCAGCUUUCAUGUAUUUGAUGAAUAGGGUUUGUAAACCAUUGCUAGAUAAAUUCGUGAUAGUAUUCAUAGACGACAUCUUGAUUUAUUUGAAAAGCAAGCAGGAGAAUGAAAAGCAUCUGCGUAAAGUGCUAGAAUCCUGAAAAAGGAGAAGCUGUAUCCAAAGUUCUCCAAAUGUGAAUUUUGGAUUCAAGAAGUCCAAUUUUUAGGUAAUGUGGUUAACCAAGAAGGAAUAAUGGUUGACCCAGCAAAGAUUGAAGUUGUGAUGAAGUCGGAACAACCAAAAAGCCCUACGAAGAUUCGAAGUUUUUUAGGAUUAGCUGGAUAUUACCAAAGGUUUAUCCAAGGAUUUUCUUCGAUUGCUACUCCAUUAACAGCUUUCACCCCACAAAAGAGCUACUUAUGCUUGGAAUGAGAAGCAUAAGGAAGCCUUUGAGAAGUUGAAGAAAAGAUUGUGUGAAGCACCGAUUCUUUCGUUUCCUAAAUGAGUCGAUGACUUCGCAGUUUAUAGCAAUGCAUCUGGAGUUGGGUUAGGUUGUGUUNAAGGGAUAAAGUGAUCGCGUAUGCAUCGAGGCAAUUGAAGGAACAUGAAAAGAACUACCCCACUCAUGAUCUGGAGUUGGCAGCGGUAGUAUUCGCCCUAAAGAUAUGGAGGCAUUAUCUUUAUGGCACAAAGUGUAAACUUUUCAAUGAUCAUAAGAGUCUCCAAUAUCGCUUUAAUCAUAAAGAAUUGAACAUGAGGCAACGACGCUGGCUAGAGUUUCUCAAGGACUAUGACUGUGAGAUACUUUACCACCGUGGUAAAGCAAAUGUUGUUGGUGAUGCUCUCAGUCGGAAAGUAAACCUUGAAAAGAAAAGGCCAAAAGCGUUAAGAAUUGAAGUUGUCUCGAAAAUUGUGGAAAGUAUAAAGAAAGCUCAAGAGGAAGCUUUAGAGAAAAAUGACCGAAAGGAAGAACGUUUGGGCAAAACGUUAGUGUUCGGUACAAACAACCAAGGGUUGAAGGUAUUUCAAGAUAGAAUUUGGGUACCUAAGACGGGCGGAAUAAGAGAUCUUCUGAUGGAAGAAGCUCACAAGACCAUGUACUCAAUUCAUCCCGGCAGUACGAAAAUGUAUAGGGAUCUAAAACCCUAUUAUUGGUGGCCGACGAUGAAGCUCGAUGUUGCUAAGUAUGUGGCCGAGUGUGUAACUUGUGCUAGGGUUAAGGCACAACAUCAGAAACCGUAUGGGAGUUUAGAACCUUUACCCGUACCCAUGGGUAAAUGGGAAGACAUCACCAUGGAUUUUGUGACUAAACUGCCCAGAACAAGGAACGGUCACGACAUGAUUUGGGUGGUCGUUGAUCGCUUCACUAAGAGUGCGCAUUUCAUAGCGGCCAAAGAGAAAUGGUCUAUGGAUAAACUUGCGAAUUCUUACGUGAAGGAAAUUGUGAGGCUUCACGGUGUUCCGUUAACGAUUGUGUCCGAUCGUGACAGCCGUUUUACCUCAAGGUUUUGGAGGAGUCUACAAGAGGAAUUGGGUACCAAGUUGUGUUUGAGUACAGCUUACCAUCCGCAAACCGAUGGUCAGAGCGAGCGAACGAUUCAAACAUUGGAGGAUAUGCUGAGAGCAUGUACCCUAGAAUUCCAAGGUAACUGGGAUGAACACUUACCUUUAGUAGAAUUCUCCUAUAAUAAUAGUUUCCACUCAAGCAUUAAGAUGGCACCUUAUCACGCUUUGUAUGGGGAGAAGUGUCGAACGCCAUCAUGUUGGCUGGAAGCUGGGGAAAAGCAGUUUAUGGGACCUGAAAUAGUCCAUGAGACUGCUGAAAAGUUGAAAGUGAUAAGGGAAAGGAUGUUAGCUGCUCAAGAUCGACAAAAGAGUUAUGCUGACAAGAAAAGACAACCGAUAUCCUUCGAUGUUGGAGAUUCGGUUUUACUUAAAGUCUCGCCGUGGAAGGGACUUAUAAGAUUUGGUAAGAGAGGGAAGUUGAGUCCAAGGUUUAUUGGACCAUUUAAAGUUCUUCAGAGGAUCGGGAAUCAAGCUUACAAGCUAGAGUUACCGGAAGAACUAGAGGGUAUUCAUAACACCUUUCAUGUGUGUUAUUUGAGAAAGUUCACAGGAGAUGUGCCCGACAUAAUUCCGAUUUCUGAGUUAAGGUUGGAUGAAAACAAGAGGUUGAUCGAAGAACCUGAGGCAAUCGUUGACCGUAAGACUAUGAAGUUACGACGCAAGAUGGUCGAUUUAGUGCUUGUGCGCUGGAAACAUACGAAUGGACCAAAUCUCACUUGGGAAACGGAGAGUGACAUGAUGAGUCGCUACCCGCAGUUGUUUGGUGAUAUGUGAUUCCGGGGACGGAAUCAUCCUAAGGGGGAGAAAAUUGUAACACUCGUGUUUCUAGCCUAGGCAUUUAUAUUGAGUUGAUAGUCUAGGUUAACCUUUGUAACUCAUUUUGAAGAAAUGAAAAGGAAUUAUGUGAAUAUUAUGUGAAUUAUGUGUUUUAUGCUUAAUUAUUAGGGCUUAAUUAAUUAAGAAUAAAAAUAAGCGUCAAAAUUAAAGUGUGAGAUAAGCCCGAUAUCUUUACAUAAAGUUGUAGUGGUCGAAACAAGGAUUUCGGGGAUAUAAAGAAUACCAAAAUCCGAGUUAUAACGAAGAAGUUAUGACCUAUCGAAGUUUCGCGACAAAACCGGCACGGUGCUGAAUGUCGUAAAAAGUGAGUUUUUGAUAAACUACUUUUUAGCCUUAGUAAUCUAAACGAAAGUUGUAGUAUUCGUUAAACCGAGAAGUUCGAUAAAAAGAACGCCCAAAUCUGACUUCGUAUGAGGAAGUUAUGAUUUUUCGAAGUUUCAGCGUAGCAGUAGACAGCUAAAAACUCGAAUUUUAGAUCGAGCGAUUUUUAGCCGACACAACCUAAACGAGAAUUGAAGGUCUCGUCAUUAGGAGCACAACGGUAAAAAGUCUGACGAAAACGGACGUCGGAUGAAGAAGUUAUGAAUUUUUAACGGAUUUCCUGUCCCGGUCUGUUAAAAAUAAUAAUAUAAAAAUUAAAGUCAAAAUUAGCCGACGAAGUCUAAACGGAAGUUGUAGAUCGUAAUUUUAGCUACGCGUGCAUAUAAAGAACGUCAAAAACGGAGCUCGUAUGCGAAAGUUAUGGAUUUUAGAAGUUUUGGCACGAAAACCGAGAAAUUUCGCAUAGUCACAAUUGCCACGUCACCCUCGCUUAGAAAGUGACACGUGUCCUGCUGAGUCACCUGGCUGCUGAGUCAUUAGGCUGCUGAGUCACCGAGGCUGCUGAGUCAUGCGAGCCACGUGUCCUCUUCUGAUUCGACCGAGGAGGAGGCCCAAUCCGAAGCAGCCAGCUCCCCAGCCGAAGCUUCGCCCAGCUGCCGCGUGUGUCCGAGCCUCGCAUAGCCUAGCUCCGAGCCUCGCAGGUGCGCCAGCAAGCCGCGGUCCACUUAGAAGCCGACAGCGAGCCCUCGCAUGUGCGAGCCAUGUGCGAGACCCCCCCUGCGAAGCCUCUUAGCCGUCGGAUCAGGAGACUUCUCAGCCGUUGGAUCAAACUUCGGACCCUAUAAAUAGAAGGGUACCUGCGAGGGUUUCCGGUUACUUUUGGAAUUUAGCCAUUUUUAGCCCCUCUCUCCAUAUUUUCUUCAUCUUAACAUCCCGCAAAGCCCCGGUAUCAAUUGUAAAGCCCGGAAUACCCCACGAAGUGCCCGAGAAGCCCGGAAAAUUUAUCUUUUCGGUUUCGAAGCCCGACUUUUGCAGAGCCCGGUUUCUCAAUAAAACUCCCGGUUUUAUUAGAAACGAUCGUUUUAGGAAACGAAUUGCUGCCCGAUUUUCACCAAAAUAAGUGAGUGUGUAGUUACUUUCAAUUUACACAUAGAUAUGAAGUAUUUACCUUGAAAUACGUGUUAUGUGUAAAUAUGCUAAUUGUUUAUUCGAGGUGACUGUUGAAUUGAUGUUUUAUACAAGUUUUAAACUGUAUAUGCUUUUUAUCUACAAAAUAUGUUGGGUAGAACAUGGGUAGAUGAAAUAGUUGAUGUGUGUUAAAAUGGUGAGAGGCCUCGAUGUCGAUGUUGUGUUGUUGUUGUAGUCAUCUAGCGAAGUAUAGAUGACGACCACGGACUUUCUAGAUAGUCCAGUGGAACACUAGCAGGUUCGCAACUUGUAGGUGUUGAUGAAUUAAAUGUUCAUUGGCGUACUUCAUCCCCCUCAUGGUUGCCUUAAGGACAUGUAUGGCUGAGGAAACCCCUUAGCAGUAGUGUCCAUCCCGAUGAUAAUCCUUAGGCUAGGUCCCUUGUGAUAGGUGUUUAGGGACGUAAAGUGAGGACAACGGGAAUGGGUAAUCAGGGUUAUUGUUGAUUGGUGAACUUAAUAAGUAUAUUAUUAUUGUGGGUUGAAAACCCUAUAUGCUCACCAGGCUCCCAAGCCUGACCCACUCAGUUUUAUGAUUACAGGUAGUGGACCCCGAGCAUAGUCGGAGGAUGACGAGAGAUUUUUGGAUUAUAGGCCAGUAGUUGUAAAUAACUGUUGAAAGGCUUAUAAUGUCUUGUUUAUGCUUUUGAUCUGUAUCGGAACAUGACAUCCCGAGGUUUUGAUAUAUAUAUGGAAAAUAUAUACCUUCUUAAUGAAGGAUUUUGAUAAACUUUUAUCAUAUAUUGUUUGGGGACCAAUUCCGCAAUAUCUUAUAAAAAGAUUUCUCUGAUUUUAUUUUAAAAAGCAUAAAUUAAAUCGGUCUUUUCUGGCCGAGAAAUAUGGGGAUGUCACAGUUGGUAUCAGAGCAUUAGUUUAAGCGAACUAAGAAAUUGUAGAAUUUCUAGACUUGAACUUAGAAUGCUAAGUGAUGAUUGUGAGAUGAGUGUCUACCAUAUUUUAGACACGAGCACUAGUUUAUUUUAGGGAAGAUGCCUAAAAUGCCCUUAUGUGCUAAAUGCUAUGUGUUUGCCAUGUGUGCCAUUAUUUGUUCGGAUCUAUGGUCUGUUGCCGACCGGAUCUGGAAACCUUAUGUGUGUAGGAUUCUAAGUGUAUGAAUACGAGAUUAGAACUAACAUGUAAACGUUUCGGAGUGAUAAGGGAAUUGACAUGUCUAACAAGGAUAAAGACCUAAAUUUCGCCUUAUUCGGUAUAUAGAUUGUAAUGGCAAGAACUCGGAGUGGAGCUGGAAAUGCAAACAGAAACCAACAACCUCAACCUCCAGUGGUGGAACAGGUGCCUAUAGUAGGAGCUGCACCCGAACCCAUCACCAUGGCUGGAGUACGAACUAUGAUUCAGGCCAUGUUGGCUGAACAGAGGGAGGAAUUGAGGCAAAUGUUGCUGAACGACAGGGAUGAACCUUCAGUUCCUGUUGAACAACGUGAACUAAAUGACGAUCGAUCUGAAGAAGGGAACAAUAGCAGAUCGGUUGGUCAUAGUGAACCGCUUGUGGUUGGGAGGAAUAACCACGAGGGUAGAGUGGAGAGAAAUGGGUGCAAGUAUAAGGACUUUAUGACUUGCAAGCCAUCGACCUUCAAUGGAAAAGAAGAUCCUGUCGGAGUAAUGGACUGGAUCUCGGAAAUGGAGUUGGCUUUCAUGACUUGUGAUUGCCAAGGCAAGUUACAAACUACGUUUGCAGUACGUCAGUUCAGGGGUAGUGCUGCCCGUUGGUGGAGCACUUUGGGGAAAACCCUAAGCCCUAAUGAGCCACUGCAAUUAACUUGGGCAGAGUUCUUAGUGCACUUCAAGCGCAAGUACUGCUCGGCCCAAAACGUACUUGAGUUAGAAAACCAAUUUCUAACGUUGCAGAAGGGGAGUAUGACCGUUGACGAAUAUACAAAUAACUUCACAGACAAAAUGGAGUUUGCUUUGCGUAUUGUCCCAGAUGAGUUGGCAAAAAUAGACAGGUACGCAAAGGGACUUCCAUGGGAGUAUGCGGUGCCAGUACGUCAGGCACUUACUUUGGAGGCAGCUAUCUGGGCUGCCAAGUCUGUUGAAGAUAUGAUAAAAGGGAGAGCCGCCAGCAAGGUUGAAGUUGGCGAAAAGAGAAAGUUUGAAGGAACUUCAGGUUCCAAUAAAAAGAACAAAUUCUCGAAGACUGGUUCGAGAAAGUUUGGAGGAGGAAGCGAAGCCAAGUGGUGUGACAAGUGUAGGAAGAAACAUGCUGGGAAGUGCAGCGUGGAAGUCACUUGUUACAAAUGUGGAAAGCCAGGGCAUUAUGCCAAUGAAUGCACCUUCAAUAAGAACGUAUGUUUUGGGUGCAAUGAAGAAGGGCAUAUUUUGAGGGACUGCCCGAAGAAGAAGGAUGCAGCAAAACCCAAUCUACCACCAAAGCCGAAGGCGAGAGCCUUUCAGAUGACCCUCGAAGCUGCGAAAGAAGAAGCCGAUGUUGCUUCAGGUACCUUUCUCGUAAACGAAUUGCCUGCCCAAAUUUUGUUUGAUUCUGGAGCCAAUUACUCCUUUAUAUCGCAUGAAUUUGGUAGAAAGCUAGCUUUGCCUGUAGAUAUGCUAGUUAAUGCUAUAAUAGUCGAGAUUGCUAGUGGCAAGUUUGUACCUGUUAGCCAUCGUAUGAAAAACAUCCUCAUUGACUUGGAUGGGAAUAAGUUCCAAGAGGAAUUAUUGCCUAUCGAGUUAAAUGGAUUCGACAUAGUUUUAGGAAUGGAUUGGCUUAGCGCCAAUGAUGCAGAAAUACUAUGUAGAAAGAAGAUAGUAAAAGUAAACCCACCAGGGAAAGAGUCGUUUAUGGUGUACGGAGACAAACGCAGAGUAAACUCUGGAAUCAUUUCCCUAAUGAAAGCCAGAAAGUGUUUGGCCAAGGGAUGUACAUCAUAUCUAGCAUUCGUGAUCGAUGCCAAGAUGGAAAAGAAGGAGGUGCAGAAUAUUCCGGUGGUGUGUGAUUAUCCGGAAGUCUUUCCCGAAGAUCUUCCCGGAUUGCCCCCUGAUCGACAAGUAGAAUUUCGUAUCGACUUGUUACCAGGAACGACGCCGAUAGCGAAAGCACCUUAUCGAUUAGCGCCAACCGAAAUGAAAGAACUUAUGACACAACUUCAGGAGUUAUUGGACAAAGGUUUCAUUCGACCUAGUUCAUCACCCUGGGGAGCCCCUGUGUUAUUUGUAAAGAAGAAAGACGGAAGCAUGAGAAUGUGCAUCGAUUACAGAGAGCUGAACAAAGUGACGAUAAAGAACAAGUACCCGUUGCCAAGGAUCGAUGACUUGUUCGACCAGUUGCAGGGUUCGAGCUA